GGCGAACGGGUGAGUAACACGUGACCAACCUGCCUCUUACAUUGGGGCAACCAAAAGAAAUUCUGGCUAAUACCAAAUACUCCGCACAUAUCACAUGAUGUAUGCGGGAAAGCUUUUGCGGUAAGAGAUGGGGUCGCGGCCCAUUAGGUAGACGGCGGGGUAGAAGCCCACCGUGCCGAUGAUGGGUAGCCGGGUUGAGAGACCGACCGGCCACAUUGGGACUGAGAUACGGCCCAGACUCCUACGGGAGGCAGCAGGC
RNAcentral lists this ribosomal RNA (259 nucleotides) under uncultured Cryptobacterium sp. Its description in RNAcentral is "partial 16S ribosomal RNA". It matches the Rfam family "Bacterial small subunit ribosomal RNA", at positions 97 to 354 of the family's 1533-position model. The record is from RNAcentral. Lineage: Bacteria; Bacillati; Actinomycetota; Coriobacteriia; Eggerthellales; Eggerthellaceae.